RNAcentral lists this ribosomal RNA (1346 nucleotides) under uncultured bacterium. RNAcentral describes it as "bacterial SSU rRNA". It matches the Rfam family "Bacterial small subunit ribosomal RNA", at positions 28 to 1381 of the family's 1533-position model. The record is from RNAcentral.
GACGAACGCUGGCGGCGUGCUUAACACAUGCAAGUCGAACGGAAAGGCCCUGCUUUUGUGGGGUGCUCGAGUGGCGAACGGGUGAGUAACACGUGAGUAACCUGCCCUUGACUUUGGGAUAACUUCAGGAAACUGGGGCUAAUACCGGAUAGGAGCUCCUGCUGCAUGGUGGGGGUUGGAAAGUUUCGGCGGUUGGGGAUGGACUCGCGGCUUAUCAGCUUGUUGGUGGGGUAGUGGCUUACCAAGGCUUUGACGGGUAGCCGGCCUGAGAGGGUGACCGGCCACAUUGGGACUGAGAUACGGCCCAGACUCCUACGGGAGGCAGCAGUGGGGAAUAUUGCACAAUGGGCGGAAGCCUGAUGCAGCAACGCCGCGUGCGGGAUGACGGCCUUCGGGUUGUAAACCGCUUUCGCCUGUGACGAAGCGUGAGUGACGGUAAUGGGUAAAGAAGCACCGGCUAACUACGUGCCAGCAGCCGCGGUGAUACGUAGGGCGCGAGCGUUGUCCGGAUUUAUUGGGCGUAAAGGGCUCGUAGGUGGUUGAUCGCGUCGGAAGUGUAAUCUUGGGGCUUAACCCUGAGCGUGCUUUCGAUACGGGUUGACUUGAGGAAGGUAGGGGAGAAUGGAAUUCCUGGUGGAGCGGUGGAAUGCGCAGAUAUCAGGAGGAACACCAGUGGCGAAGGCGGUUCUCUGGGCCUUUCCUGACGCUGAGGAGCGAAAGCGUGGGGAGCGAACAGGCUUAGAUACCCUGGUAGUCCACGCUGUAAACGGUGGGUACUAGGUGUGGGGUCCAUUCCACGGGUUCCGUGCCGUAGCUAACGCUUUAAGUACCCCGCCUGGGGAGUACGGCCGCAAGGCUAAAACUCAGAGGAAUUGACGGGGCCCCGCACAAGCGGCGGAGCAUGCGGAUUAAUUCGAUGCAACGCGUAGAACCUUACCUGGGUUUGACAUGGAUCGGGAGCGCUCAGAGAUGGGUGUGCCUCUUUUGGGGUCGGUUCACAGGUGGUGCAUGGCUGUCGUCAGCUCGUGUCGUGAGAUGUUGGGUUAAGUCCCGCAACGAGCGCAACCCUUGUUCACUGUUGCCAGCACGUUAUGGUGGGGACUCAGUGGAGACCGCCGGGGUCAACUCGGAGGAAGGUGGGGAUGACGUCAAGUCAUCAUGCCCCUUAUGUCCAGGGCUUCACGCAUGCUACAAUGGCUGGUACAGAGAGUGGCGAGCCUGUGAGGGUGAGCGAAUCUCGGAAAGCCGGUCUCAGUUCGGAUUGGGGUCUGCAACUCGACCUCAUGAAGUCGGAGUCGCUAGUAAUCGCAGAUCAGCAACGCUGCGGUGAAUACGUUCCCGGGGCU